This 74-nucleotide transfer RNA is filed under the name Bacillota bacterium. Its description in RNAcentral is "tRNA-Gln". It matches the Rfam family "tRNA". Rfam says of the family: Transfer RNA (tRNA) molecules are approximately 80 nucleotides in length. RNAcentral also lists the same sequence under 7 other names. Lineage: Bacteria; Bacillati; Bacillota. The record is from RNAcentral.
AGAGGAUUAGUGUAACGGUAGCACACCGGACUCUGACUCCGUUCGCGGGGGUUCGAAUCCCUCAUCCUCUGCCA